UACAGAGGGGGCAAGCGUUAUUCGGAAUUAUUGGGCGUAAAGGGCGCGUAGGCGGCCUGGCAAGUGGAUGGUGAAAUCCCUCGGCUUAACCGAGGAACUGCCAUCCAGACUGCUUGGCUUGAGACCGGGAGAGGUGAGUGGAAUUCCCAGUGUAGCGGUGAAAUGCGUAGAUAUCUGGAGGAACACCGGUGGCGAAGGCGGCAUCCUGGACCGGUAUUGACGCUGAGGCGCGAAAGCCAGGGGAGCAAACGGG
This 253-nucleotide ribosomal RNA is filed under the name uncultured bacterium. RNAcentral's name for it is "partial 16S ribosomal RNA". It matches the Rfam family "Bacterial small subunit ribosomal RNA", at positions 524 to 776 of the family's 1533-position model. The record is from RNAcentral.